GCAGUCAGUAGGGAAUCUUCCACACGGGGCGCAAGCUGAUGAGCAGCACGCGUGAGGUGAUGAAGGGUUUCGACUCGUAAAGCCUGUUGUUAAAAGAAGAACACGUAUGAGAGUUACUGUUCAUACGUUGACGGUAUUUAACCAGAAAGUCACGGCUAACUACGUGCCAGCAGCCGCGGUAAUACGUAGGUGGCAAGCGUUAUCCGGAUUUAUUGGGCGUAAAGAGAGUGCAGGCGGUUUUCUAAGUCUGAUGUGAAAGCCUUCGGCUUAACCGGAGAAGUGCAUCGGAAACUGGAUAACUUGAGUGCAGAAGAGGGUAGUGGAACUCCAUGUGUAGCGGUGGAAUGCGUAGAUAUAUGGAAGAACACCAGUGGCGAAGGCGGCUACCUGGUCUGCAACUGACGCUGAGACUCGAAAGCAUGGGUAGCGAACAGGAUUAGAUACCCUGGUAGUCCAUGCCGUAAACGAUGAGUGCUAGGUGUUGGAGGGUUUCCGCCCUUCAGUGCCGGAGCUAACGCAUUAAGCACUCCGCCUGGGGAGUACGACCGCAAGGUUGAAACUCAAAGGAAUUGACGGGGGCCCGCACAAGCGGUGGAGCAUGUGGUUUAAUUCGAAGCUACGCGAAGAACCUUACCAGGUCUUGACAUCUUGCGCCAACCCUAGAGAUAGGGCGUUUCCUUCGGGAACGCAAUGACAGGUGGUGCAUGGUCGUCGUCAGCUCGUGUCGUGAGAUGUUGGGUUAAGUCCCGCAACGAGCGCAACCCUUGUUACUAGUUGCCAGCAUUAAGUUGGGCACUCUAGUGAGACUGCCGGUGACAAACCGGAGGAAGGUGGGGACGACGUCAGAUCAUCAUGCCCCUUAUGACCUGGGCUACACACGUGCUACAAUGGACGGUACAACGAGUCGCGAACUCGCGAGGGCAAGCAAAUCUCUUAAAACCGUUCUCAGUUCGGACUGCAGGCUGCAACUCGCCUGCACGAAGUCGGAAUCGCUAGUAAUCGCGGAUCAGCAUGCCGCGGUGAAUACGUUCCCGGGCCUUGUACACACCGCCCGUCACACCAUGAGAGUUUGUAACACCCAAAGUCGGUGGGGUAACCUUUUAGGAGCCAGCCGCCUAAGGUGGGACAGAUGAUUAGGGUGAAGUCGUAACAAGUA
This 1156-nucleotide ribosomal RNA is filed under the name Limosilactobacillus fermentum. RNAcentral describes it as "bacterial SSU rRNA". It matches the Rfam family "Bacterial small subunit ribosomal RNA", at positions 348 to 1497 of the family's 1533-position model. Lineage: Bacteria; Bacillati; Bacillota; Bacilli; Lactobacillales; Lactobacillaceae. The record is from RNAcentral.